This 349-nucleotide long non-coding RNA is filed under the name Lepisosteus oculatus (spotted gar). Its description in RNAcentral is "lncRNA (ENSLOCG00000021735.1)". The record is from RNAcentral. Lineage: Eukaryota; Metazoa; Chordata; Actinopteri; Semionotiformes; Lepisosteidae.
GCGGGACUGAAAGGACCCCAGCGACACCAGCGCAGAAAAUCGAAACUGGAAACUGAGGACCCAGUGGGCACCCGAUCGGAAGGAGAGUGGAUCGCCUUACGAUCGGUCAGGCCCGCUUAGUACUGAACCGAGCCGAAGAGAAGCAAGAGGACGUGGAAAUCAGCACUCGUCUGCUUACGAGCCGGGUCAGCGAGGCGGGAAUGAGACAGCUGGUCUAGUGGGACUACAGCUCCGUAACACGAGUUGCAGCGAUGAAGCGGAGAACAGACUCCGCGGAACCACACAAGAAGAAGAGGAAACGCUGUGAGGAACCCAGCUCAGAUGAGGAACAUCUAAGUGACAGGGCGAC